GAUGAACGCUGGCGGCGUGCCUAAUACAUGCAAGUCGAACGCUGGAAAUCUAGCUUGCUAGAUUGAAGGAGUGGCGAACGGGUGAGUAAUACAUAAGCAACCUACCCACGAAGACUGGGAUAAUCUCUGGAAACGGGGACUAAUACCGGAUAGGUAAUCGGAAGGCAUCUUCUGAUUAUUAAAGGUUAAAAACACUGGUGGAUGGGCUUAUGGCGCAUUAGUUAGUUGGUGAGGUAACGGCCCACCAAGACGAUGAUGCGUAGCCGGCCUGAGAGGGUGAACGGCCACAUUGGGACUGCGACACGGCCCCGACUCCUACGGGAGGCAGCAGUAGGGAAUUUUCGGCAAUGGGGGAAACCCUGACCGAGCCACGCCGCGUGAGUGAUGACGGCCUUCGGGUUGUAAAGCUCUGUUGUAAGGGAAGAACGGUAGAUAGAGAAUAUCUAAAUGACGGUACCUUACCAGAAAGCCACGGCUAACUACGUG
RNAcentral lists this ribosomal RNA (486 nucleotides) under uncultured bacterium. RNAcentral's name for it is "partial 16S ribosomal RNA". It matches the Rfam family "Bacterial small subunit ribosomal RNA", at positions 28 to 507 of the family's 1533-position model. The record is from RNAcentral.